This 6013-nucleotide long non-coding RNA is filed under the name Homo sapiens (human). RNAcentral's name for it is "HSALNT0261293". Lineage: Eukaryota; Metazoa; Chordata; Mammalia; Primates; Hominidae. The record is from RNAcentral.
GUAAGCGGUCCACUCACCACACAGAAGAGGUGCUGACAGUGGGGGAGACAGGGAGAAAGAAAGAGGCUGAGAGAGAAAGAGAGACGGAGAGCUGAGAGAGAAAGGAAGAACCCCAAAAGAGGAAGUUCCAGGGGUGGGGCUCCACCCACUCCCGCUUCAUGUAAGGUGGCUUUCUGUCUCUCUCUCUGUCCCUGUCUCCCUCACCUGCUCCACUGGGACACAUGCUCUGGUACCUGAGGGGCCUUGGAAUUUGUGGGCACCAAGGACUCAUGGGGCAGUCCCUCCCAGGUCUCCAUGUCUCAGGCGCUGGGGGAUCUAAAGGGACCCCUGAUCUACUGGAACCCACCUCUGGGCAUGGGGACCUCAGGGCUGACCCUGGACAGCAGCUGACCUCACAGACACUCUGACCUCAUGGCCUGCUAAGCUCUCCCAUCUCUGCAUCCAGCUGUGUCUCCCAUUUCCUGCCCUGGGUCUCUUGUUCCUCCUCUCUGGGUCUUUGUCCCCACCUUCCUGCUACUCCCCAUCUCUGUCCCCUUAUCUCAGCAGAGUCUCUCCCUCCUCUGGGUCUCUGUCCUCCUGCCUCCUGGGGUCUCUAUCCUCCCUCUCUCUGUGUUUCUUUAUUUUAUUUAUAUAUUUGUUUCUUUUUGAGACAGGGUCUCACUUUUCACCCAGGCUGGAGUACGGUGGGGAAAACAGCUCACUGUAGCCUGGGCUCAAGCUAUCCUCCCACCUCUGCCUUCUGAGUAGCUGGGAUUACAGGUGCACACUACCAUGCCUGGCUAAUUUUUGUAUUUUUUGUAGAAAUGGGGUCUUGCUAUGGAGUGGGAGUGUUGUAUUUUUUAUAUUUAAUUAAAAAAAAACAGAGAUAGGGUCUCACUAGGUUGCCCAGGCUGGUCUGGAACUCCUGGACUCAAGCGACCCUCCUGCCUUGGCCUCCCAAAGUGUUGGGAUUACAGGCGUGAGCCACUGUGCCUGGCCUCUCUCUGCUUCUGGCCCCUUCUUUGGGUCCUUCCUCCUUUCUCUCUUCAUCUCUCUUUUGUUUUUGUUUUUGAGACAGGGUCGCCCAGGCUGGAAUGCAGUAGUGCGAUCAUAGCUCACUGCAGCCCCAACCUUCCCAGGCUCGAGCAAUCCUUGCACCUCAGCCUCCCAAGUAGCUGGGACUACAGGUGCACACCACCAUGCCUGGCUAAUUUUCUUCAUUUUUUGUAGAGAUGGGAGUCUCACUGUGUUGCCUAGGCUGGUCUCAAAUUUCUGGGCUCAAGUGAUCCUCCUGCCUUGGCCUCCUAAAGUGCUGGGAUUAUGGGCGUGAGCCACUGUGCCCAGCCUGUCUUCUUUUCUCUGUCUCCCCCUUCCCCACUUGUUUUUGUGCCUCUCAGAGUCUGCAGCCUGUUCUGGACCAGGGAGCACCCAGGUGCUGGGGGCAGGGGCUGGGUACCUGGGGAAGUGAAAGUGCUACAGGCUCGAGGUGGGAAGGUCCCUGGGAGUGGGGAGGGCGCUGGGCCGUGCCAACACCCCCAGCGGAAGCUGAGCAUCAGGCGGUACUUCCUGCCUCUGCAGUGGGGCCCGAGGAGCGGAGGCCCCAGAGGAGGAGGCACUGAGCCUGGGAUCCUGACAGUCAGAUCUGGGUCUGCAGUGCCUGGUUGCAGGUGCACACCCAGUGGCCUCUGCAGUUUCCUCUGAUGUCCCCAAAUUCUCUCACCUGGUUUCCUCAUCUGAGGCAGCCCCACCAUCUAUCUAGUCAUGAGGUCAAAGCUCCAUCUUGUCCCCUCUUCCCCAACAGCGCAUCAGUCUCUUAGCCAGAUCCCUCCUGCCUGCUGAGUCUCCACUCCACCCCUCUUCUCUGUCCUGAGGGCUCAGGCAGGCUCUGGGCUCCUGCUCUCCUACCUGGACCCUGACUUUAGGCUUCUCCCUGGCUUCUAGUUUCUCCCUCCAGUCUGUCCCCCACAUAGCCCCAGAGGGGUCUUUUUGAAACCCAGUCCUGAGCCACACAGUUCUGUAUCCAAACGCUGAGUCACCACCUGCCUCAUCCCUCAGCUUUUAUUUUUUUGGUGGUUGUUGAGACAGAGUCUCACUCUUCGCCCAGGCUGGAGUACAGUGGUGCAAUCAGCUGACUGCAACCUCCGCCUCCUGGGUUCAAGCGAUUCUCCUGCCUCAUUCUCCCAAGUAGCUGGGAUUACAGGCAUGACCCACUACGCCCGGCUAAUUUUUGUAUUUUUGGUAGAGACGGGGUUUCACCAUGUUGGCCAGGCUGACCUCGAACUCCUGACCUCAAGUGAUCCGCUCACCUCGGCCUCCCCAAGUGCUGGGAUUACAGGCAUGAGCCACCACACCCAGGUUUUUGUUGUUGUUGUUGUUUGUUUGUUUUGAGAUGGAGUCUCACUCUGUUGACCAGGCUGGAGUGCAGUGGCACGAUUAUGGCUCACUGCAACCUCUGCCUCCUGCGUUCAAGCAAUUCUCCUGUCUCAGCCUCCAGAGUAGCUGGGAUUACAGGCAUGCACCACCAUACCUGACUAAUUUUUGUAUUUUUAGUACAGACAGGGUUUCACCAUGUUGGCCAGGCUGGUGUUGAACUCCUGACCUCAAGUGAUCCAACUGCCUUGGCCUCCCAAAGUGCUGACAUUACAGGUGUAAGCCACUGCGCCCAGCCCCUCAGCUUCUGUUUCUAACCACCACCAACGCCUCUCUGCUCUACCAUUAAAGUACAUUGCAAACCCAGCCACUUCUUUCCAAGGCCACCAUCCUAAGUCAGGUUCCCAUCAUUUUCUACAAAAAUAAUUAUAGCUGAUUAUAGUGGGUUGCAUGGCGUUCUCCAAAAAGAUAUGUCUAUGUCCUAAUCCCCAGAACUUGUGGUGACCUUAUUUGGAAAAAAGGGUUUUGCGGGUAUAAUUACAUUCAGGAUCUCAAGAUACUGCAUUAUCUGUGUGACCCCUAAAUCUGAUGACAAGUGUCUGUUUUUUGUUUUUGUUUUUGAGACAGAGCCUCGCUCUGUCACCCAGGCUGGAGUGCUGUGGUGUGAUCUCGGCUCACUGCAACCUCCGCCUCCCAGGUUCAAGCAAUUCUCUGCCUCAGCCUCCCGAGUAAAUGUGAUUACAGGCAGGCGCCUGCCAGCACACCCAGCUGAUUUUAGUAUUUUUAGUAGAGAUGGGGUUUCACCAUCUUGGCCAGGCUGGUCUUGAAUUCCUGACCUCGUGAUCCACCCACUUCAGCUUCCCAAAGUUCUGGGAUUACAGGCGUGAGCCACCGCACCCGGCUGACAAGUGUCCUUCUAAGAAACACACAGAGGAGAAGACACAGAAGAGGAGAGCACCAUGUGAUGGUAGACACAGAAAUUGGAGUUCUACAGCCACAAGCCAAGGAACUCCUGGAGCCACCAGGAGAUGGAAGAUGCAAAGAACUGAUUUUCUCUCAGAGCCUCUGGAGGGAGUGUGGCCCUGGUGACACCUUGAUUUUGGACUUCUGGCCUACAGAACCAUGCACACAGGAGGACUUCAUUUCCCAGGUCUCCUUGCAGUGAAGUUGAGGCCAUGUGACUGGUCUUGGGCCAAUGGAAUGGGUGCAGAAGGGACACAGCCCAUUUCUAGACUCAGCCUGAAAUGUCCUCCAUAAUCCUUACUCUUUCUCCCUUCACUCACUGGCUGCAGGAAGCUGAGAAUUAUCCUUGGACUUACAUAAAGCAUUUUGGACUUUAUGUAAGUAACAACCUGUUGUAUUAAGCUACUAAGAUUUUACGGUUGUUUGUUAAAUCAGCUAACCUUAAACAUCCUAACAACUACAAAUAGAAUACCUGUUACUGCAUACACUAUAUAUAUCAAAACAUUAUUAUGGGCCAGGUGAGGUGGCUCAUGCCUGUAAUUCCAGCACUUUGGGAGGCUGAGGCAGGAGGAUCACAUGAGCCCAGGAGUUCGAGACCAGCCUGGGCAACAUAGUGAGACCCUGUCUACAAAAAUUAACAAAAAAAUUAGCUGGGCUUUGUGGUAUGUACCUACAGUCCCAGCUACUCAGGAGGCUGAGGUGGGAGGACUGCUUGAGCCUGGGAGAUCGAAGUUGCAGUGAGCCGUGAUUGCACCACUGCACUCCAGCCUGGAUGACAGAGCAAGACCCUACAGGGGAAAAAAAAGUGGAACACCAGGAGCUACCAGAAACUGAAGAGUCAAGGAAGGAUUGUCCUCUGAGCCUUUGAAGGAAGUGGCGUGCUGACACCUUAAUUUCGGACUUUUGGCAUCCAGAACUGUGAGAUAAUAUAUUUUUGUUGCUUUAAGCCACCAAGUUUGUAGUAAUUUAUACAGCAGUCUCGGGAAGCGAAUAUACCUGCUCAAUCAGAAACUCUGGGGGCGGGCCUGGCAAUCUGUUUUUUUUUUUGUGUUUUUUUUUUGUCUCACUCUAUUGCCCAGGCUGGAGUGCAAUGGCACAACCUCGGCUCACUGCAACCUCUGCUUCCCGGGUUCAAGCGAUUCUCCCGCCUCAGCCUCCUGAGUAGCUGGGAUUACAGACACCCACCAUCAUGCCCAGCUAAUUUUUGUAUUUUUAGUAGAGACAGGGUUUCACCAUGUUGGCCAGGCUGGUCUUGAACUCCUGACCUCAGGUGAUCUGCCCACCUUGGCCUCCCAAAGUCCUGGGAUUACAGGCAAGCCACUGCACCUGGCCUGGCAGUCUGUGUUUUAACAAGCCUUCCUGGUGACUGAUGUGCACUAACGUUUGAGAACAGCAAUUCUACCCAUUGAAUUCACCUGAUCCCCUCCUCCUUUACUGGCAAAUUCCCUCUUGCUUUUCCUCCUUCCUUCUUCACUGGCUGGUUCUCCUCAAUCUUCAUUGGAUCGUCCUUUUUCUAGCUUCUAAAAUUUGGGGAGUCCUAGCCCUUUCUAGCUACACUCACUCACGAGAUGAUAUCAUGCAGUGCCAUAGUGUUCAUCGCAAUCUACAAUACUGUUGACUUACCAAUUUAUAUGCCUAGCCUCAAACUUUCCCCUGAACUGCGGACUCAGGAAGAUUCAUUUCCCAGGUCUCCUUGCAGUGAAGGACAACUUAACCUCUGCCUUUGGCUGUAUAAUUGACAUCUCAAACUUAACACGCCCAAAACGAAACUAUUGAUUCCCUCCCACCUCCUGCACACUCCAGUACUUUCCUUUUCAGUAAAUUGUCACUCCAUCUUCCAAUUCUUCAGGCCCAAAGUUUUGGAGUCUUUUUUUUUUUUUUGAGGUCUUGCUCUGUCACACAAGUGGGAGGGCACUGGCACGAUCAUGACUCAUUGCAGCCUCAAUCUCCUGGGCUCAAGUGAUCUUCCCACUCAGCCUCCUGAGUAGCUGGGACAACAGAUGCGUGCCACCACACCUGGCUAUUAAAAAACACUUUUCUUUCCUUUAAGAGACAAGGCCGGGCUGGGCACGGUGGCUCACGCCUGUAAUCCCAGCACUUUGGGAGGCCGAGGCGGGCGGAUCACGAGUUCAGGAGAUCGAGACCAUCCUGGCUAACACAGUGAAACCCCCGUCUCUACUAAAAAUACAAAAAAUUAGCCAGGCGUAGUGGCGGGCGCCUGUAGUCCCAGCUAUUCGGGAGGCUGAGGCAGGAGAAUGGUGUGAACCUGGGAGGCAGAGCUUGCAGUGAGUGGAGAUCGCACCACUGCACUCCAGCCUGGGCGACAGAGCGAGACUAGACUGUCUCAAAAAAAAAAAAAAAAAAAAAAAAAGACAAGGCCUUGCUAUGUUGCCCAGGCUAGUAUCCUACUAUCAAACUCCUAGCCUCAAGCAAUCCUCCCACCUCGCCCUUGCAAAGUGCUGGGACUACAGGUGCAAGCCACCGCUCCCGGCUGAGUCAUUCUUGAUUCCUCUCUUUCUCUCAGACCCCAAACCUAAUCACCAUUAGUUUUCUAAUGCUCUGUAACAAAUUACCCCAAAUUUAGCAGUUUAAAACAAUAAACAUUUCUUAGGCCAGGAGCGGUGGCUCACUGUAAUCCCAGCACUUUGGGAGGCUGAGGCAGGCAGAUUACGAGGUCAGGAGUUCGAGACCAGCCUGACCA